UUUCCAAUCAGUUCAACAACCGGAUAGGUCAGAACAUGAGAGUCUUAAUCUCAGGGUUGUGGGUUUGAGCCCCACGUUGGGCAA
Molecule: non-coding RNA, 84 nt
Organism: Podarcis lilfordi (Lilford's wall lizard)
Lineage: Eukaryota; Metazoa; Chordata; Lepidosauria; Squamata; Lacertidae
Source: the annotation of a GenBank genome assembly